This 846-nucleotide ribosomal RNA is filed under the name Penicillium sclerotiorum. RNAcentral describes it as "eukaryotic LSU rRNA". It matches the Rfam family "Eukaryotic large subunit ribosomal RNA", at positions 69 to 933 of the family's 3401-position model. The record is from RNAcentral. Lineage: Eukaryota; Fungi; Ascomycota; Eurotiomycetes; Eurotiales; Aspergillaceae. RNAcentral also lists the same sequence under 2 other names.
CCGGGAUUGCCCUAGUAACGGCGAGUGAAGCGGCAAGAGCUCAAAUUUGAAAGCUGGCCCCUGCGGGGUCCGCAUUGUAAUUUGCAGAGGAUGCUUCGGGAGCGGUCCCCAUCUAAGUGCCCUGGAACGGGCCGUCAUAGAGGGUGAGAAUCCCGUAUGGGAUGGGGUGCCCGCGCCCGUGUGAAGCUCCUUCGACGAGUCGAGUUGUUUGGGAAUGCAGCUCUAAUUGGGUGGUAAAUUUCAUCUAAAGCUAAAUAUUGGCCGGAGACCGAUAGCGCACAAGUAGAGUGAUCGAAAGAUGAAAAGCACUUUGAAAAGAGAGUUAAACAGCACGUGAAAUUGUUGAAAGGGAAGCGCUUGCGAUCAGACUCGCUCCCGGGGUUCAGCCGGCAUUCGUGCCGGUGUACUUCCCCGGGGGCGGGCCAGCGUCGGUUUGGGCGGCCGGUCAAAGGCCCCUGGAAUGUAACGCCUCUCGGGGCGUCUUAUAGCCAGGGGUGCCAUGCGGCCUGCCCGGACCGAGGAACGCGCUUCGGCUCGGACGCUGGCAUAAUGGUCGUAAGCGACCCGUCUUGAAACACGGACCAAGGAGUCUAACAUCUACGCGAGUGUUCGGGUGUCAAACCCGUGCGCGCAGUGAAAGCGAACGGAGGUGGGAACCCCCCGGGGUGCACCAUCGACCGAUCCUGAUGUCUUCGGAUGGAUUUGAGUAAGAGCGUAGCUGUUGGGACCCGAAAGAUGGUGAACUAUGCCUGAAUAGGGCGAAGCCAGAGGAAACUCUGGUGGAGGCUCGCAGCGGUUCUGACGUGCAAAUCGAUCGUCAAAUUUGGGUAUAGGGGCGAAAGACUA